CCAUAUGCUUGUCUCAAAGAUUAAGCCAUGCAGGUCUCAGUACGGCCUCUAGCGAAAAGGCGAAACCGCGAAUGGCUCAUUAAAUCAGUUAUGGUUCCUUAGAGCUUACGUUGUCUUACUUGGAUAACCGUGGUAAUUCUAGAGCUAAUACAUGCACCGAAGCUCCGACCCUCGGGAACGAGCGCUUUUAUUAGACCGCAACGACCGUAUCCGCCGCGCCUUCUUUCCGCGAGGGAGAUGCGCGGACGUGUUUGCGUGGUGACUCUGGAUAACUUAGCCGAUCGGCCGUCGCACCCCUUUAGCGGGGGUUUAAACAACGGCCGACGCACCUUUCAAGUGUCUGCCUUAUCAACUGUCGACGGUAGGUUAAAUGCCUACCGUGGUAGUAACGGGUGACGGGGAAUCAGGGUUCGAUUCCGGAGAGGAAGCCUGAGAAACGGCUACCACAUCCAAGGAAGGCAGCAGGCUCGCAAAUUACCCACUCCCGGCACGGGGAGGUAGUGACGAAAAAUCACGAUGCGGGACUCGGUCGAGACCCCGCCAUCGGAAUGAGUACACUCUAAAUCCUUUAACGAGGAUCGACCGGAGGGCAAGUCUGGUGCCAGCAGCUGCGGUAAUUCCAGCUCCGGUAGCAUAUGCUAAAGUUGCUGCGGUUAAAAAGCUCGUAGUUGGAUCUCAGUCUCGGCCGCUCGGUCUCGCCCGUGUUGGCGGGUCUCGUCGCGGCCGGUCAGAAUGUCGGCCGCCCGGGAUGAUCUUGACCGGUUGUCUCGGAACGGCCGGCGAGUUUACUUUGAAAAAAUCAGAGUGCUCAGAGCGGGCGUUAUCCGCCCGAACGCCCGUGCAUGGAAUAAUGGAAGAGGACCUCGGUUCCAGUCUGUUGGUCCACGAACCCUGAGGUAAUGAUUAAGAGGAACGGCCGGGGGCGAUCGUACCGCGACGCUAGAGGUGAAAUUCUUGGACCGUCGCGUGACGCACCACAGCGAAAGCAUUCGUCAAGAACGCUUCCGUUAAUCAAGAACGAAAGUCAGAGGUUCGAAGGCGAUCAGAUACCGCCCUAGUUCUGACCAUAAACGAUGCCGACCAGCGAUCGGGCUGCGCUCGCCACGACGAGGCGCCCGGAAGCUUUCCGGGAAACCAGAGUCUCUGGGUUCCGGGGGAAGUAUGGUUGCAAAGCUGAAACUUAAAGGAAUUGACGGAAGGGCACCACCAGGAAUGGAGCCUGCGGCUUAAUUUGACUCAACACGGGAAAACUCACCCGGCCCGGACACGGGAAGGAUUGACAGACUGAUUGCUCUUUCUUGAUUCUGUGGGUGGUGGUGCAUGGCCGUUCUUAGAUGUCCGGGGCCGCACGCGCGCUACACUGACGCCCACAGCGUGCGCGCUCGCCCGGUCCGACAGGACCGGGGAACCCCUUCAACGGACGUCGUGAUGGGGACAGGGGAUUGGAAUUGUUCCCCUCGAACGAGGAAUUCCCAGUAAGCGCGAGUCACUAGCUCGCGUUGAUUACGUCCCUGCCCUUUGUACACACCGCCCGUCGCUACUACCGAUUGAACGGUUCGGUGAGGUCCUCGGACUGGCUUACGCUGGCGGGACCCUUUGCGUGUCCGGCCCCUCCGCGGGUCGGCGCGUUAAUUCCCGAUGCGGUAGCCGGAAAGUCGAUCGAACCGUAUCGUUUAGAGGAAGUAAAAGUCGUAACAAGGUUUCC
Molecule: ribosomal RNA, 1705 nt
Rfam family: Eukaryotic small subunit ribosomal RNA